This is a long non-coding RNA of Rosa chinensis, 597 nucleotides long. RefSeq lists it as uncharacterized. The record is from RefSeq and is a predicted model, not a curated record. Lineage: Eukaryota; Viridiplantae; Streptophyta; Magnoliopsida; Rosales; Rosaceae. The transcript is spliced from 2 exons.
UUACAUGCACUUGUGAAAAUACGUAGGUACAGUUAGAGAAUAUAUAUAUAGGAGCUAGCAGGGAGACCUGUAUUUGGCAAAAUGGUUCAGAAGGCCUGCGUUGUUUUCAUGAUUCCCUUCAUCUUAUUGUUAUUGUUCUCGUCCAACAUAGUCCAUGCUGAAGUUUUCGAUAUUCCAAAAACCAGCAAAGAGAAGGCGAAGCUGCAUGUGGACAUGGAGGUUAUUAGGGUGAAGAGAAUAGGCGUACCAGUACCUCCUACACCUAGAGCGGGUCAAGGCCGGCAUGGACGUUGACAUACAUGCAUGCAAUUAAUUUGCAGUUCAAUAACUCAAAUUAAUAAAGGAAAAACAAGCAAAUGAUAAGCCUGGCCGUACUCAUAUUGCUCACUGCAUGUGAACAAAACUAUGUACUGCAUGCCGGGCGAAAAUUAGAUCCCCGUCAUUGAUCGAAUUUGGUGUGCAAUACUUGUAAUUAGUCUAAUAUGAUUAGUCUUUUAAUUUUUGCUGUUGAUUUUAGUCCAAAAAGAUCUCUUUAUUCGUUAUCUGUUUUUUCCCUUUUUUUGGCAAGACAAGACAAUCUAACCUAUGUUAUAUUUA